GGCAUCAAUAAGGGGGUGCCCAAUAAUGGUCUCUAUGGGUCUCAGUGUAUCGCUAUGGGUCCCUAUGGGUCGCUAUGGGUCCCUAUGGGCCUCUAUGGGUCCCUAUGGGUCUCUAUGGGUCCCUAUGGGUCUCUAUGGGUCCUCUAUGGGUCCCUAAGGGUCUCUAUGGGUCUCUAUGGGUCUCUAAUGGUCCCUAUGGGUCUAUAAUGGUUCCUAAUGGUCCCUAUGGGUCUCUAUGGGGUCCCCGAUAUUUCUCUAUGUGUCCCUAUGGGUCUCUAUGGGUCUCUAUUGGUCCCUAUGGGUCUCUAUGGAUCUCUAUGGGUCUCUAUGGGUCUCUAUGGGUCCCUAUGGGCCUCUAUGGGUUAUAUGGGGGGGGGCAUUACUAAGGGGGGGUAAUAAGGGGGGGGUAAUUAAUAAGGGGGGGUAAUUAAUAAGGGGGGUAAUUAAUAAGGGGGGGGUAUUAAUAAGGGGUUAAUUAAUAAGGGGGGGGUAAAUUAAUAGGGGGGGUAAUUAAUAAGGGGGGUAAUUAAUAAGGGGGGGUAAUUAAUUAAGGGGGGUAAUUAAUAAGGGAGUACUAAGGGGGGUAAUUAAUAGGGGGGGUAAUUAAUAAGGGGGUAAAUAAGGGGGGAAAUUAAAUAAGGGGGGUAAUUAAUAAGGGGGGUAAUUAAAUAAGGGGGGUAAUUAAUAAUGGGGUUAAUUAAUAAGGGGGGUAAUAAAGGGGGGGUAAUUAAUAAGGGGGUAAUAAGG
This 747-nucleotide long non-coding RNA is filed under the name Coturnix japonica (Japanese quail). RNAcentral describes it as "lncRNA (ENSCJPG00005001185.1)". Lineage: Eukaryota; Metazoa; Chordata; Aves; Galliformes; Phasianidae. The record is from RNAcentral.